CUGCAGCCCGAGUGGUGGUCGAUAUUAUUGAGCCUAAAGCGUCCGUAGCCGGACUAGUAUAUUCUUGGGUAAAUCGGGCAGCUUAACUGUCCGACUUCCGAGGAGACUGCUAGUCUUGGGACUGGGAGAGGUCAGAGGUACUCCAGGGGUAGGGGCUAAAUCCUGUAAUCCUUGGGGGACCACCAGUGGCGAAGGCGUCUGACUAGAACGGAUCCGACGGUAAGGGACGAAACCCUGGGGCGCAAACCGGAUUAGAUACCCGAGUAGUCC
RNAcentral lists this ribosomal RNA (270 nucleotides) under uncultured archaeon. Its description in RNAcentral is "partial 16S ribosomal RNA". It matches the Rfam family "Archaeal small subunit ribosomal RNA", at positions 477 to 747 of the family's 1478-position model. The record is from RNAcentral.